AAGUCGUAACAAGGUUUCCGUAGGUGAACCUGCGGAAGGAUCAUUAUUGAAUAAACCUGAUGUGGUUGAAGCUGGCUCUCUCGGGAGCAUGUGCACGCCCGUCGUCUUUAUAUCUCCACCUGUGCACUUUUUGUAGACCUUGAUAUAACACUUUCCGAGGAAACUCGGUCGGGAGGAAUGCCGUGCGUCAAUGCCGGCUUUCCUUGAAUGUCCUGGUCUAUGUUUUCACAUACCCCAAAGAAUGUAACAGAAUGUAUCAUUGGGCCUUGUGCCUAUAAACUAAAUACAACUUUCAGCAACGGAUCUCUUGGCUCUC
Molecule: unclassified non-coding RNA, 316 nt
Filed under: Galerina fallax
Lineage: Eukaryota; Fungi; Basidiomycota; Agaricomycetes; Agaricales; Galerinaceae
Description: partial internal transcribed spacer region
Rfam family: Eukaryotic small subunit ribosomal RNA (bases 1-46)
Source: RNAcentral